RNAcentral lists this ribosomal RNA (471 nucleotides) under uncultured organism. RNAcentral describes it as "partial 16S ribosomal RNA". It matches the Rfam family "Bacterial small subunit ribosomal RNA", at positions 334 to 797 of the family's 1533-position model. The record is from RNAcentral.
CACUCCUGCGGGAGGCAGCAGUGGGGAAUAUUGCACAAUGGGCGCAAGCCUGAUGCAGCCAUGCCGCGUGUAUGAAGAAGGCCUUCGGGUUGUAAAGUACUUUCAGCGGGGAGGAAGGCGAUAAGGUUAAUAACCUUGUCGAUUGACGUUACCCGCAGAAGAAGCACCGGCUAACUCCGUGCCAGCAGCCGCGGUAAUACGGAGGGUGCAAGCGUUAAUCGGAAUUACUGGGCGUAAAGCGCACGCAGGCGGUCUGUCAAGUCGGAUGUGAAAACCCCGGGCUCAACCUGGGAACUGCAUUCGAAACUGGCAGGCUAGAGUCUUGUAGAGGGGGGUAGAAUUCCAGGUGUAGCGGUGAAAUGCGUAGAGAUCUGGAGGAAUACCGGUGGCGAAGGCGGCCCCCUGGACAAAGACUGACGCUCAGGUGCGAAAGCGUGGGGAGCAAACAGGAUUAGAUACCCCUGUAGUCCC